CUGCUGCCUUCCGUAGGAGUUUGGACUGUGUCUCAGUUCCAAUGUGGGGGACCUUCCUCUCAGAACCCCUACGCAUCGUCGGCUUGGUGGGCCGUUGCCCCACCAACUACCUAAUGCGCCGCAUGCCCAUCCGUGACCGGGGUCGCCCCCUUUGGCCGGCAGGGGAUGUCCCCUCCCGGCAUUAUGUUGUAUUAGGCGGGAUUUCUCCCGGUUAUCCAUCUGUCACGGCCAGGUUGCAUACGUGUUACUCACCCGUGCGCCGGUCGCCGG
This 270-nucleotide ribosomal RNA is filed under the name uncultured bacterium. RNAcentral's name for it is "partial 16S ribosomal RNA". The record is from RNAcentral.